Molecule: non-coding RNA, 1254 nt
Organism: Pelodiscus sinensis (Chinese soft-shelled turtle)
Lineage: Eukaryota; Metazoa; Chordata; Testudines; Trionychidae
Source: the annotation of a RefSeq genome assembly
AUGAGUGUCCAGCUCUGGACUCCUCCUUCCACUUCAUGGUCUCCGGCCAUUUUAAGCCCUGCUCACCUCCGGCCUUGUAUGAGCCCUCCUGGAAGAGCCAAGCCCCAUGGCAGCACUGAGGCUGGAAACCCGCCUGUCCCCAAGCAGGGAGGAUUUACCUGUAAAAUGAGCACGCUCUGUUCUGGGGAACUCACCCAAGAGGUAACCACGGUCAAUAAAGGUGUGGCUAAAAAGGAGCCUUCCCUCACCAUCUCAAAAACUUAACACAAAAACAUCUCAGAGAACAAAGUACCCUUGACUCUUAUCUGUGAAGCUAGUGGCUUUUACCCAGAAGACAUCAGCAUGUCCUGGUUGAAGGACAAUUCCCCAGAACUCACGGCCAGUUACAACAAUGGCCCCAUGGCAGGAAGUGGUGCCUUCUUGGCCUACAACAUCCUGAAAGUCAAUCAAACCAAAAGAACAGAAGACUUCACCUGCACGGUGCAUCACCCAGCCUUGGAGGAGCCCAAGAGAGUGGUGGAAAAGGUGUUCUUCCGUGGCAGCGACUGUCAUCGACCCCCUCCGAAGGUCUUCCUCCUUCCCCCAUCCCUGGAGGAUCUCUACAUAGCACAAAAUGCCACCAUCACUUGUGUGGUGAGCAGCAUGGAGACCCCCAGCAGCCUGGAGAUCUCCUGGAGCAGGACAAAUGGAGACCCAUUGAUGAUGGACUCCAGGGAGCUGGUGCAGCAUCCAAAUGACACCUACAGUGCAGUCAGCAUCCUGAGGGUGUAUGUGAAGGAAUCGGAAGCAACGGAGAAUUUCACCUGCACUGUGAAGCACCAAGAGAUGCCAUCGACAGAGGCCAAGACUAUCUACAAAAGUCGUGAGGUCUCUUUCUGGGCCCCUUCUGUCUAUGUCUCCCCUCCUCAUGCACUGGCUCUCCAGGAAUGAGCCACCAUCACUUGCCUGGUCUUUAACUUCUGGACGAGAGACAUCUUGGUCACAUGGACCCGGAAGGACCGGCCCAUUCCACAGGAAGCCUACACCAACAUUAGCCCCAUGCGAGAGGCUGGGAAGGAGGAAAGCUACUUCAUCUACAGCAAGCUCAUAAUCCAGGUGUCUGAAUGGCAGAAGGGGGACACCUAUUUUUGCAUGGUGGGGCAUGAAAGCCUGCCCAAGAGCUUCACCCAACGGAGCGUUGACAAAACCUCUGGUAAACCCACCGCCAUCAAUGUCUUUGUGGUCUUGUCCAAUAACGAUGUCACUUGCCACUGA